CGAGAGGUCGGUGCCGGAGUGUCAGGAACCAUAGUCAUCAGGUCACCGACCCUUUUCACGCGCUACGUCGGAGAGCCGGACCGGACGGACGCCGUCUGGUGGAAGGACGGAUGGUUCAUAUCCGCGGAUGCUGGGUAUUUGAGCCCCGAGGGUCGUGUUUUUGUGUUUGGUCGAAGUGGUGACGUCAUUUCUAGAGGCAUUGUACUAACUUACCCAGCGUGGGUCGAGAAACCAAUCAGCUCUCACCCGGAAGUACUCGAGAUCAUGGCGGUUCCUGUCCCAGACGAC
Molecule: long non-coding RNA, 288 nt
Organism: Physella acuta
Lineage: Eukaryota; Metazoa; Mollusca; Gastropoda; Physidae
Source: RefSeq, a predicted model, not a curated record